RNAcentral lists this ribosomal RNA (305 nucleotides) under uncultured bacterium. RNAcentral's name for it is "bacterial SSU rRNA". It matches the Rfam family "Bacterial small subunit ribosomal RNA", at positions 337 to 640 of the family's 1533-position model. The record is from RNAcentral.
UCCUACGGGGGGCAGCAGUGAGGAAUAUUGGUCAAUGGGCGGGAGCCUGAACCAGCCAAGCCGCGUGAGGGAAGAAGGUACAGCGUAUCGUAAACCUCUUUUGUCAGGGAACAAAGGCGGGGACUAGUCCCCAGAUGAGGGUACCUGAAGAAAAAGCAUCGGCUAACUCCGUGCCAGCAGCCGCGGUAAUACGGAGGAUGCGAGCGUUAUCCGGAUUUAUUGGGUUUAAAGGGUGCGUAGGCGGGUUAUCAAGUCAGCGGUAAAAUCGUGGAGCUCAACUCCAUCCAGCCGUUGCAACUGAUGAU